AGUCCCCCAUGGGUGGGGAUUUGUUGCAUUACUUGUAACUUGCUAAUAGUAUUGCACUUGUCCCGGCCUGUGGAGGAAGA
This is a non-coding RNA of Pelobates cultripes (western spadefoot toad), 80 nucleotides long. The record is from the annotation of a GenBank genome assembly. Lineage: Eukaryota; Metazoa; Chordata; Amphibia; Anura; Pelobatidae.